Molecule: long non-coding RNA, 1184 nt
Filed under: Rattus norvegicus (Norway rat)
Lineage: Eukaryota; Metazoa; Chordata; Mammalia; Rodentia; Muridae
Description: long non-coding RNA NONRATT020680
Source: RNAcentral
GGAUUAAACCCAGGCCUGUGAGCAUAGGCAUGUACUCUCUCUGAGCCCCAUCUCCAGCCUGAGAAUACAGUUUCCUGACUCAGAGGAACUGAGGGCUCCUCAAAAUGGCUUAUGGUUAGGCUGGGGAUGUAGUUUCAGGGGUGAAGUGUUUGUCAAGAAUACCAAAGGUGGGGGCGGGGCAGAGUGGGGUGUCAAUAUUAAUCCAGGUCAACAAAGAAAUCGUGGUGGAUUCGUACAAUGAGAUAGUACGGGUCCAGGGAGGUGGCUCACUGGGUUGUCACUUGUUGCCAAGUCUGGUGACCCAGUUUCAUCUCUGAGACUCACAUGAUAGAAUGAGAAUACUGAGUCCUAAAAGUUGUCCUAUGGCUAUCACAGCAGCAUGUGCAUACCCCUGAAACAAAUAAAUACAAUACAUCAAAUUAAUAUCUGUAUGACCCUGGCUAGGCAAGUUUUUAUUCACAAGAACACAAGAAAGUCAGGAGAAUCAAGGAAAAGACAGAUUAGAUGAUAGUAAAAUUCUGCCUUUCUUGUGGGAAGCAGGGUAAUCGAUUUUAUAGUAUUUAGGGAUGACAAGAUGUCCUAGUGGGUAAAGACACCUCCUGCUAAGGUUGACAACCCAAGUUCUAUCCUGUCCACAUGGAGGAAGGAGAGAGCCGACUCCCACAAGUCAUCCUCACCGUCCACAUUGCAUGCAUACCGUGUGUGGUGCACGUGUGCAAGUGUACACGCAUGUGCAAGAGCGGGAUUCAGAACAUGCUGCAGUUUUAUAUUCCAGAAGUGGAAGGCGUGGAGCAGGUGAUGGAUGAUGAGGAAUCAGAUGAAAAAGAAGCAAAUUCACCUUAAAUAAUCUGCAUUUUCUUUGGCCACAACCGUUGGACUUAUCUUUACUGAGCCUGUAUUACUGCUGUGUAAGUUUAUUAAUAAAAGGUUUCCUUUCUCCAGAAUGAGAUGAUAUAUAAGUAUAAAUAUAUAUAUUUAUAUUUGCUUCCCCUCGCAAAUUAUUUACACCAUCCUGAGGUGCCACCCUGAGUCACCCACCCUCUUGGGUCUUAAUCAUUUAUGCUGCCCUGAGCCUUAUCCCCACACUUUCUUUCAUGCUGGGAGAAGCAUUUUAAAAUACAUUUCCCAUUUAACCCAUUUGCUUUUUUUAUACAGAAAUAAACAGAAUAAAUGCAUUUAAAAUA